Molecule: ribosomal RNA, 2906 nt
Filed under: Escherichia coli
Lineage: Bacteria; Pseudomonadati; Pseudomonadota; Gammaproteobacteria; Enterobacterales; Enterobacteriaceae
Description: 23S ribosomal RNA
Rfam family: Bacterial large subunit ribosomal RNA
Source: RNAcentral
GGUUAAGCGACUAAGCGUACACGGUGGAUGCCCUGGCAGUCAGAGGCGAUGAAGGACGUGCUAAUCUGCGAUAAGCGUCGGUAAGGUGAUAUGAACCGUUAUAACCGGCGAUUUCCGAAUGGGGAAACCCAGUGUGAUUCGUCACACUAUCAUUAACUGAAUCCAUAGGUUAAUGAGGCGAACCGGGGGAACUGAAACAUCUAAGUACCCCGAGGAAAAGAAAUCAACCGAGAUUCCCCCAGUAGCGGCGAGCGAACGGGGAGCAGCCCAGAGCCUGAAUCAGUGUGUGUGUUAGUGGAAGCGUCUGGAAAGGCGCGCGAUACAGGGUGACAGCCCCGUACACAAAAAUGCACAUGCUGUGAGCUCGAUGAGUAGGGCGGGACACGUGGUAUCCUGUCUGAAUAUGGGGGGACCAUCCUCCAAGGCUAAAUACUCCUGACUGACCGAUAGUGAACCAGUACCGUGAGGGAAAGGCGAAAAGAACCCCGGCGAGGGGAGUGAAAAAGAACCUGAAACCGUGUACGUACAAGCAGUGGGAGCACAGAGCAAUCUGUGUGACUGCGUACCUUUUGUAUAAUGGGUCAGCGACUUAUAUUCUGUAGCAAGGUUAACCGAAUAGGGGAGCCGAAGGGAAACCGAGUCUUAACUGGGCGUUAAGUUGCAGGGUAUAGACCCGAAACCCGGUGAUCUAGCCAUGGGCAGGUUGAAGGUUGGGUAACACUAACUGGAGGACCGAACCGACUAAUGUUGAAAAAUUAGCGGAUGACUUGUGGCUGGGGGUGAAAGGCCAAUCAAACCGGGAGAUAGCUGGUUCUCCCCGAAAGCUAUUUAGGUAGCGCCUCGUGAAUUCAUCUCCGGGGGUAGAGCACUGUUUCGGCAAGGGGGUCAUCCCGACUUACCAACCCGAUGCAAACUGCGAAUACCGGAGAAUGUUAUCACGGGAGACACACGGCGGGUGCUAACGUCCGUCGUGAAGAGGGAAACAACCCAGACCGCCAGCUAAGGUCCCAAAGUCAUGGUUAAGUGGGAAACGAUGUGGGAAGGCCCAGACAGCCAGGAUGUUGGCUUAGAAGCAGCCAUCAUUUAAAGAAAGCGUAAUAGCUCACUGGUCGAGUCGGCCUGCGCGGAAGAUGUAACGGGGCUAAACCAUGCACCGAAGCUGCGGCAGCGACGCUUAUGCGUUGUUGGGUAGGGGAGCGUUCUGUAAGCCUGUGAAGGUGUACUGUGAGGUAUGCUGGAGGUAUCAGAAGUGCGAAUGCUGACAUAAGUAACGAUAAAGCGGGUGAAAAGCCCGCUCGCCGGAAGACCAAGGGUUCCUGUCCAACGUUAAUCGGGGCAGGGUGAGUCGACCCCUAAGGCGAGGCCGAAAGGCGUAGUCGAUGGGAAACAGGUUAAUAUUCCUGUACUUGGUGUUACUGCGAAGGGGGGACGGAGAAGGCUAUGUUGGCCGGGCGACGGUUGUCCCGGUUUAAGCGUGUAGGCUGGUUUUCCAGGCAAAUCCGGAAAAUCAAGGCUGAGGCGUGAUGACGAGGCACUACGGUGCUGAAGCAACAAAUGCCCUGCUUCCAGGAAAAGCCUCUAAGCAUCAGGUAACAUCAAAUCGUACCCCAAACCGACACAGGUGGUCAGGUAGAGAAUACCAAGGCGCUUGAGAGAACUCGGGUGAAGGAACUAGGCAAAAUGGUGCCGUAACUUCGGGAGAAGGCACGCUGAUAUGUAGGUGAAGUCCCUCGCGGAUGGAGCUGAAAUCAGUCGAAGAUACCAGCUGGCUGCAACUGUUUAUUAAAAACACAGCACUGUGCAAACACGAAAGUGGACGUAUACGGUGUGACGCCUGCCCGGUGCCGGAAGGUUAAUUGAUGGGGUUAGCGCAAGCGAAGCUCUUGAUCGAAGCCCCGGUAAACGGCGGCCGUAACUAUAACGGUCCUAAGGUAGCGAAAUUCCUUGUCGGGUAAGUUCCGACCUGCACGAAUGGCGUAAUGAUGGCCAGGCUGUCUCCACCCGAGACUCAGUGAAAUUGAACUCGCUGUGAAGAUGCAGUGUACCCGCGGCAAGACGGAAAGACCCCGUGAACCUUUACUAUAGCUUGACACUGAACAUUGAGCCUUGAUGUGUAGGAUAGGUGGGAGGCUUUGAAGUGUGGACGCCAGUCUGCAUGGAGCCGACCUUGAAAUACCACCCUUUAAUGUUUGAUGUUCUAACGUUGACCCGUAAUCCGGGUUGCGGACAGUGUCUGGUGGGUAGUUUGACUGGGGCGGUCUCCUCCUAAAGAGUAACGGAGGAGCACGAAGGUUGGCUAAUCCUGGUCGGACAUCAGGAGGUUAGUGCAAUGGCAUAAGCCAGCUUGACUGCGAGCGUGACGGCGCGAGCAGGUGCGAAAGCAGGUCAUAGUGAUCCGGUGGUUCUGAAUGGAAGGGCCAUCGCUCAACGGAUAAAAGGUACUCCGGGGAUAACAGGCUGAUACCGCCCAAGAGUUCAUAUCGACGGCGGUGUUUGGCACCUCGAUGUCGGCUCAUCACAUCCUGGGGCUGAAGUAGGUCCCAAGGGUAUGGCUGUUCGCCAUUUAAAGUGGUACGCGAGCUGGGUUUAGAACGUCGUGAGACAGUUCGGUCCCUAUCUGCCGUGGGCGCUGGAGAACUGAGGGGGGCUGCUCCUAGUACGAGAGGACCGGAGUGGACGCAUCACUGGUGUUCGGGUUGUCAUGCCAAUGGCACUGCCCGGUAGCUAAAUGCGGAAGAGAUAAGUGCUGAAAGCAUCUAAGCACGAAACUUGCCCCGAGAUGAGUUCUCCCUGACUCCUUGAGAGUCCUGAAGGAACGUUGAAGACGACGACGUUGAUAGGCCGGGUGUGUAAGCGCAGCGAUGCGUUGAGCUAACCGGUACUAAUGAACCGUGAGGCUUAACCUU